UGCGAGCUCAAAAGCCAUGUUGGAGCCGCCGAUUUCGUGGCCAUCGAUCUGGAGAUGACCGGCGUCACCAGCGCUCCCUGGCGAGAGUCCUUCGAAUAUGACCGAUACGACGUUCGCUACCUCAAGGUCAAAGAUUCCGCUGAAAAGUUCGCUAUCCUUCAGUUCGGCGUCUGUCCUUUUCGCUGGGACGCCCACCACCAAUCCUUCAUUGCUCAUCCGCACAAUUUCUACAUAUUUCCCCGUCAAGAGCUAGCAGCUGAUGGUACCUCUUAUGAGUUCCUCUGCCAAACCAC
RNAcentral lists this unclassified non-coding RNA (293 nucleotides) under Hevea brasiliensis (rubber tree). Lineage: Eukaryota; Viridiplantae; Streptophyta; Magnoliopsida; Malpighiales; Euphorbiaceae. The record is from RNAcentral.